Molecule: non-coding RNA, 273 nt
Organism: Columba livia (rock pigeon)
Lineage: Eukaryota; Metazoa; Chordata; Aves; Columbiformes; Columbidae
Source: Rfam
GCUCUGUAGUCCAAGAGGUGCCCUUGGUUGUCAGUACUCUGGGCAUACCAGGCUUGCAGAGAGAGCACCUGCGUGAGGAAGCCGAGGCAUGCCUGGCCGAGUCGCAGCAGCAACGUGCGCAAUAUUCCUCUGACAGCCACAAUUCUGUUGCCACGGAGAUAAUGACUUAUCCCAUGUCAUUAUUGAUCCAUCAACAGUAAGAGCAACUUUGCAGUCUGAUAUUGUUUAGCAAAUAGAGUAACAUCUGCUGAACACUAAAAAACUGCUAUAAAU